RNAcentral lists this ribosomal RNA (231 nucleotides) under uncultured organism. RNAcentral describes it as "partial 18S ribosomal RNA". It matches the Rfam family "Eukaryotic small subunit ribosomal RNA", at positions 1205 to 1456 of the family's 1831-position model. The record is from RNAcentral.
GCGGGAAAUCUCACCAGGCCCGGACACUGGAAGGAUUGACAGAUUGAGAGCUCUUUCUCGAUUCGGUGGGUGGUGGUGCAUGGCCGUUCUUAGUUGGUGGAGUGAUUUGUCUGGUUAAUUCCGAUAACGAACGAGACUCUGUCCUGCUAAAUAGUUCCAGCGUCCUUUGUUGCGCUGGAAAUUCUUCUUAGAGGGACUGGCGGCGUUUAGCCGCACGAGAUUGAGCAAUAA